Molecule: ribosomal RNA, 800 nt
Filed under: uncultured archaeon
Lineage: Archaea
Description: bacterial SSU rRNA
Rfam family: Archaeal small subunit ribosomal RNA
Source: RNAcentral
CCUUACUGCUCAGUAACACGUGGAUAACCUGCCCUUGGGUCCGGCAUAACCCCGGGAAACUGGGGAUAAUUCCGGAUAACGCAUAUAUGCUGGAAUGCUUUAUGCGUCAAAUGGAUUCGUCUGCCCAAGGAUGGAUCUGCGGCCUAUCAGGUAGUAGUGGGUGUAAUGUACCUACUAGCCAACAACGGGUACGGGUUGUGAGAGCAAGAGCCCGGAGAUGGAUUCUGAGACAUGAAUCCAGGCCCUACGGGGCGCAGCAGGCGCGAAAACUUUACAAUGCGGGAAACCGUGAUAAGGGGACACCGAGUGCUAGCAUCAUAUGCUGGCUGUCCAGGUGUGUAAACUACACCUGUUAGCAAGGGCCGGGCAAGACCGGUGCCAGCCGCCGCGGUAACACCGGCGGCCCGAGUGGUGAUCGUGAUUAUUGGGUCUAAAGGGUCCGUAGCCGGUUUGGUCAGUCUUCCGGGAAAUCUGAUAGCUUAACUAUUAGGCUUUCGGGGGAUACUGCCAGGCUUGGAACCGGGAGAGGUAAGAGGUACUACAGGGGUAGGAGUGAAAUCUUGUAAUCCCUGUGGGACCACCUGUGGCGAAGGCGUCUUACCAGAACGGGUUCGACGGUGAGGGACGAAGGCUGGGGGCACGAACCGGAUUAGAUACCCGGGUAGUCCCAGCCGUAAACGAUGCUCGCUAGGUGUCAGGCAUGGCGCGACCGUGUCUGGUGCCGCAGGGAAGCCGUGAAGCGAGCCACCUGGGAAGUACGGCCGCAAGGCUGAAACUUAAAGGAAUUGGCGGGGGAGCAC